AGCCCAUGCACCCGCAGAGCAUGUAGAAGACGGUGGUCACUGCCACGCUGAUCACCGUCGCCCUCUUCAUCACCUUCGCCUCCGACAGCGGAGGCGCUUUGAUCGUGUCCUGAAAUCGUUCGUCAAAAUGCCAAAGUACCUGGAUUUCAAUGAGGAUGAUGGAGUAGGAGUAGGCAAACGCGAUGUCGCCGAAGGCUUGGAAACUGCGCCAGAUUUUGUCCAUUUGGCCAACGGCGGCUAUGCUGAUUCCGGUGAGACUACCUUUGAAUCCGCCAUUUUCUGAUAAAAGAAGAAGAAGAAGAAGAAGAAGAAGAAUUUAGAGCCCCGAACUUAUUUCCCAUGGAACUGAAUCGAGUUGGACGAUCCAACUUCAGCUUACUUAUCACUUGGACGAUGCCGAGCCCAAGGCCGAUGCAAGAGUAGGUGAAGGACAUGACGGCGGCGACGAAGGACAGCCACCAAACCUGGUCGAAGUCACGAAUCUGCGAGAAGAUGAUCUGCACCACACCGAACAUGAUCAUGUAAGGGUUGCUGUUUACGUCACAGGAGGCGUCGUCGUCGUCGUCGUCUGCAUUCUUGUGGAAGCAAUUCGAUCUUUUCACAGCCCUGUGUCGACACAAAACCAACCUCAAACACUCGCCUUCGAAGACAGAUAGCUCGAUGACACAACUGUUCGAUCAAUUUACUCACACCAUGCUAAUGGAAGCAGCGAUGGUGUACCCAAUCGCGACUCCGACGAUGUUGAGGUACUGAAGACAGCCGCACAGCUUCACCUGGAAGCCAUCUGUUUGGAAAUGGAGGUUAGUAAAGACUGUAAUUUUACAGAGUUUGCUUCUCCUUUUUUCAGCGAAUACCAAGGUUGGCACGGACGGCGUCCAUGUAGGUGUAGUUGCGCUUGCCGGCAGCGGGAUCACCAGAGCGGUAGCAGUCGGAGAGGAGAGCAGAUGUGUAGUAAGUUACGAAGGAGAAGAGAAGCAUGGCGGCUGGGCCAAUGACCCAUCCGAGCUGACCGACGGCCCAGGCCAAAGAGAGCACUCCAGAGCCGAUGACUGCAGUCACGAUGUGAGCGCUUGCAGUCCACACAGUGCCUGCGAAGAUGAUAACUUGAGAACAAAAAACUACUGAAACAGUGGAACUGAAGCCUUCUGUGAUUUCUUACCAGUCCUCUUGGGACGACCAUCGUCGUCGAAGCACUCGGAAGCUCCCUGCGAGAGGCCAACUUCUAAUGCUGCCUGGUGGCAGUAGUUGGCAGCACCGAUCUCAUCCAUCUUCGAACUGCAGGUGUUGCACUUCAGUUGCACUGGAUCUGAGCAGCUCUUUAUAGUGGCAAAAUGGAAAUAGUGAACAGAAGUAAUCUAAGGUGGACUCGGUGGAUUCCAUAAAGGUACCACUACUCAUCUCUCAUUAAAGGUGAUGACCACAACAGCCUUCGUGUCUCACUACUGACCUCAUCGGAUUGUUAAUGUUCUUGAAGUAUCCCCACUCCGAUUAACUCGUAGGUAGGUCGGGGUGGGAGCAGUGGCAGGAACUAGGAAGCUUCCAACUGAAAAAUGAUAACAGAAAAAGCAACACGAGAAUCCAAGCUCAAAUGCAUCAGCAAGUAAUUGACUGUAGAAGCUUGUUGGUCAAGAGAUUUAGUAUUUGAUUAUGUUUUAGAAGUUGCUAUUACUCGAGGGCAAUCAAAUCAUACAAACACUGAAUGAAAAUAUCAAAAUUUAUUUAUAAAACUAUGCAGAUGGAGGUGCAGGGUAUCUACAGUGUUAUGGUGUGUUUGUUUCAAACUCUGAUGGUCGCCACAUUGACUUCUGAGCAUACAACAAUCCUUCUUUGCCCUUUGAGAAUGUCAUUCGGAUUUUCCAGUGAAGAGAUUUAGCAAGAUUCUCUAUUGAGGAAAUUGUAUCGACAUGGUCUCUUACGAUCAGAUUUCCUCCGGGUCUUAGCA
Molecule: long non-coding RNA, 1942 nt
Organism: Zingiber officinale
Lineage: Eukaryota; Viridiplantae; Streptophyta; Magnoliopsida; Zingiberales; Zingiberaceae
Exons: 2
Source: RefSeq, a predicted model, not a curated record